UGGCCCGUGGUCUAGCGGUAGGACAGUGGACUUUGACUCCUCUAACCCUGGUUCGAAUCCAGGCGGGCCAGCCA
This 74-nucleotide transfer RNA is filed under the name SAR202 cluster bacterium. Its description in RNAcentral is "tRNA-Gln". It matches the Rfam family "tRNA". Rfam says of the family: Transfer RNA (tRNA) molecules are approximately 80 nucleotides in length. Their secondary structure includes four short double-helical elements and three loops (D, anti-codon, and T loops). The record is from RNAcentral. Lineage: Bacteria; Bacillati; Chloroflexota; Dehalococcoidia.